UGGGGAAUAUUGCACAAUGGGCGCAAGCCUGAUGCAGCCAUGCCGCGUGUAUGAAGAAGGCCUUCGGGUUGUAAAGUACUUUCAGUCGGGAGGAAGGUGUUAAGGUUAAUAACCUUGACAAUUGACGUUACCGACAGAAGAAGCACCGGCUAACUCCGUGCCAGCAGCCGCGGUAAUACGGAGGGUGCCAGCGUUAAUCGGAAUUACUGGGCGUAAAGCGCACGCAGGCGGUUGAUUGAGUCAGAUGUGAAAUCCCCGGGCUUAACCCUGGAAUUGCAUCUGAUACUGGUCAGCUAGAGUCUUGUAGAGGGGGGUAGAAUUCCAUGUGUAGCGGUGAAAUGCGUAGAGAUGUGGAGGAAUACCGGUGGCGAAGGCGGCCCCCUGGACAAAGACUGACGCUCAGGUGCGAAAGCGUGGGGAGCAAACA
Molecule: ribosomal RNA, 427 nt
Filed under: uncultured bacterium
Lineage: Bacteria
Description: partial 16S ribosomal RNA
Rfam family: Bacterial small subunit ribosomal RNA
Source: RNAcentral